This 468-nucleotide ribosomal RNA is filed under the name uncultured bacterium. RNAcentral's name for it is "partial 16S ribosomal RNA". It matches the Rfam family "Bacterial small subunit ribosomal RNA", at positions 28 to 507 of the family's 1533-position model. The record is from RNAcentral.
GACGAACGCUGGCGGCGUGCUUAACACAUGCAAGUCGAACGGAAAGGCCCUGCUUUUGUGGGGUGCUCGAGUGGCGAACGGGUGAGUAACACGUGAGUAACCUGCCCUUGACUUUGGGAUAACUUCAGGAAACCGGGGCUAAUACCGGAUAGGAGCUCCUGCUGCAUGGUGGGGGUUGGAAAGUUUCGGCGGUUGGGGAUGGACUCGCGGCUUAUCAGCUUGUUGGUGGGGUAGUGGCUUACCAAGGCUUUGACGGGUAGCCGGCCUGAGAGUGUGACCGGCCACAUUGGGACUGAGAUACGGCCCAGACUCCUACGGGAGGCAGCAGUGGGGAAUAUUGCACAAUGGGCGGAAGCCUGAUGCAGCAACGCCGCGUGCGGGAUGACGGCCUUCGGGUUGUAAACCGCUUUCGCCUGUGACGAAGCGUGAGUGACGGUAAUGGGUAAAGAAGCACCGGCUAACUACGUG